GUCCCAGACUCCUACGGGAGGCAGCAGUGGGGAAUAUUGCACAAUGGGGGAAACCCUGAUGCAGCGACGCCGCGUGAAGGAAGAAGUAUUUCGGUAUGUAAACUUCUAUCAGCAGGGAAGAAAAUGACGGUACCUGACUAAGAAGCCCCGGCUAACUACGUGCCAGCAGCCGCGGUAAUACGUAGGGGGCAAGCGUUAUCCGGAUUUACUGGGUGUAAAGGGAGCGUAGGCGGUUUGGCAAGUCAGAAGUGAAAGCCCGGGGCUCAACUCCGGGACUGCAUUUGGAACUGUGCUGCUAGAGUGUCGGAGAGGCAGGCGGAAUUCCUAGUGUAGCGGUGAAAUGCGUAGAUAUUAGGAGGAACACCAGUGGCGAAGGCGGCCUGCUGGACGAUGACUGACGUUGAGGCUCGAAAGCGUGGGGAGCAAACAGGAUUAGAUACCCCCGUAC
Molecule: ribosomal RNA, 448 nt
Filed under: uncultured bacterium
Lineage: Bacteria
Description: partial 16S ribosomal RNA
Rfam family: Bacterial small subunit ribosomal RNA
Source: RNAcentral